UUUCACGACUUCCGGCGAGCUAACGGGCUAACUUUUAGCCAGGAAGUUAGCGCGCAGCUCCAGGUGGCUCGCGGUUGGCCGGAUACGUAAGCGUAACUUCUCCUGUUGGAUAAAACAUGCUUUUAAAAAAAAAAAAAAGAGACGUCGUUAAAUAUAACUUACGGUAUUUUUACUAACGUAUCCGGGUUCGUGACGUAUUCGGCGUGUGUAAAAAUGCGCUUUUUGCUUUCGCUAAAAUAUUGAAAGUUAAGUGUUUUGAAUACACAUUGUAACCUUUAAAAUAAAUACAUGUUAAACUUAUUUUAUUUACGAUUAAUGUAGACUUUUUUUAACGGAGUUUCCGGCAACUUCCGGUCGGCUGUCAGGUGACUUCCUGUCGCGUGACUCGCAUGCGGCUCAACAACACAAGUUGCACCAUAUUCUAGUUUUAUGUUACGUAACACGAGAUCAACCUGAAUUCAAACGGUGGUGUCACCCUCAUCUCUUCCUCCCCUGAGGGGUCAGGUGUGUGUGUGUGUGCGUGUUGUUCCUCUGCUUGUCAUCAGCGUGUUAACUCCCUCAUGCCAUUGAUUGUGUGUUGUGUCACGUUACAUUGACGGUUUGUAUUAAAAACACCAAACACUUCAUAAAUGCUGCGAUGAACUGGUUUUAUUUAGCUGAUCAGGCUGCAACCCUUUUUUGGGCUCUCAGCAUUUGAUCAAAAGAUGAACGACUGUUUAGAAAAUAUCUGCUUCUUUUAGUUAAAAAAAGACAUUUAAAAAAAAAAAAACUGAACGAGAGAAGUCGACUACAACUCCCAGGGUGCAUUGCUCUAAGCAGACGGCACUUAAAGUAAGCGGAGUUCAAGGUGGCGUCUUUUCAACCGUAUCACAGACGAAUAUAUUACAUUUUAUAACGUGUGUGGGGGGGGAAGGAAAUGCUCAUUUUUGGACGUAUACAAUUAAUAGUUUACAGCAAUGGAAGCUGACAUUCAACCUCUUGUUGACAUCAUGAUUAUAGUUUUUUUUUCAGACCCAAAAUUACUGAGAGAAAAACAGGUCUAAAAAAAAACGACGACAUUACAAACGAAAGCAUGUGUAAAUAACAAUAUUAAACUGAGAGGUAGCCGACAAUAAUUCCACCAGGUGUUGUCUCAAAAGGUGUGUUUCUUCUGUCUUAUGCAGGAUCACCUGCGUCACCUGAGUGCAAAUAAACACACCUCAUGUCCUGGUCUCUGUUGAUAACACACACACACCACUGUUUUUUGACGGUUGGCAUCGGCUCCGUUGACGGUUGGUAUCGGCUCCAUUGACGGUUGGCAUCGGCUCCGUUGACGGUUGGUAUCGGCUCCAUUGAGGGUUGGUAACGGCUCCAUUGACGGUUGGUAGCAGCUCCAUUGAGGGUUGGUAUCGGCUCCGUUGACGGUUGGUAUCGGCUCCGUUGACGGUUGGUAGCAGCUCCAUUGAGGGUUGGUAUCGGCUCCAUUGACGGUUGGUAUCGGCUCCAUUGAGGGUUGGUAUCGGCUCCGUUGACGGUUGGUAGCAGCUCCAUUGAGGGUUGGUAUCGGCUCCAUUGAGGGUUGGUAACGGCUCCAUUGACAGUUGGUAGCAGCUCCAUUGAGGGUUGGUAUCGGCUCCGUUGACGGUUGGUAUCGGCUCCAUUGACGGUUGGUAGCAGCUCCAUUGAGGGUUGGUAUCGGCUCCAUUGAGGGUUGGUAUCGGCUCCGUUGACGGUUGGUAUCGGCUCCAUUGACGGUUGGUAGCGGCUCCAUUGAGGGUUGGUAUCGGCUCCGUUGACGGUUGGUAUCGGCUCCAUUGACGGUUGGUAGCGGCGCCAUUGAGGGUUGGUAACGGCUCCAUUGACGGUUGGUAUCGGCUCCAUUGACGGUUGGUAACGGCUCCGUUGAGGGUUGGUAUCGGCUCCAUUGACGGUUGGUAUCGGCUCCAUUGAGGGUUGGUAUCGGCUCCGUUGACGGUUGGUAUCGGCUCCAUUGACGGUUGGUAGCGGCGCCAUUGAGGGUUGGUAACGGCUCCAUUGACGGUUGGUAUCGGCUCCAUUGACGGUUGGUAACGGCUCCUUUGACGGUUGGUAUCGGCUCCAUUGACGGUUGGUAUCGGCUCCAUUGAGGGUUGGUAUCGGCUCCAUCGGAGGUCAUGCGUUCUCCUCUGCCAGUUCCUCCUUAACUCCUCCUC
RNA transcript from Cyclopterus lumpus (lumpfish), 2171 nucleotides. It is a transcript of the gene named egl-9 family hypoxia-inducible factor 3, with no coding region annotated. The record is from RefSeq and is a predicted model, not a curated record. NCBI's taxonomy places the organism in Eukaryota, Metazoa, Chordata, Actinopteri, Perciformes, Cyclopteridae. The transcript is spliced from 2 exons.